UACGUAGGUGGCAAGCGUUGUCCGGAUUUAUUGGGUUUAAAGGGUGCGUAGGUGGGUUGAUAAGUCAGUGGUGAAAUCCCCGAGCUUAACUUGGGAACUGCCAUUGAUACUAUUGAUCUUGAAUACCGUGAAGGUCAGCGGAAUAUGUCAUGUAGCGGUGAAAUGCUUAGAUAUGACAUAGAACACCAAUUGCGAAGGCAGCUGGCUACGCGAAUAUUGACACUGAUGCACGAAAGCGUGGGGAUCAAACAGG
Molecule: ribosomal RNA, 253 nt
Filed under: uncultured bacterium
Lineage: Bacteria
Description: partial 16S ribosomal RNA
Rfam family: Bacterial small subunit ribosomal RNA
Source: RNAcentral